AAAUAAAUCAGAAAAUCAUGGGAAAAAAUUUGAUCAUGUUAAUUAAAAUGAAACCCUUAUUCUCAUAAGUCAUAACAACGUUCAAAUUUGAUUAACAUGUAAAAGUAAGAGACAUUUGGGGAUUAAUUCAUUUGAUUAAUAACGGUAACACUACAAUGUGUGUAUAUAAUAAUUUGCUUUGAUGCUAAGUUUCAUUGGAUGUGGAAGCAGAAAGAGUAAAAUUGAAGUAGAAGCUGAGAAGUGCAUAGAGAAAGAAGAAAAAGAAACCUGUGGUUGGGGUCAUCAUCGGCGGAGCGUGAAGCGGUUCGGCAACGACCCAUUUCUCACCAGUAAUUCAUUCAGCGCAGCUCAGUUUGUUGCUUUGCUCUCUCUCAAUCAACCACGUUACUUUUACUUAUAUACCAGCUC
RNAcentral lists this long non-coding RNA (408 nucleotides) under Trifolium pratense (red clover). Its description in RNAcentral is "long non-coding RNA (TPRA_LNC010025)". Lineage: Eukaryota; Viridiplantae; Streptophyta; Magnoliopsida; Fabales; Fabaceae. The record is from RNAcentral.